RNAcentral lists this unclassified non-coding RNA (2467 nucleotides) under Leishmania donovani. Its description in RNAcentral is "gene:LdHU3.26.1180(CDS-product:Meiotic_cell_corte x_C-inal_pleckstrin_homology_putative)". Lineage: Eukaryota; Euglenozoa; Kinetoplastea; Trypanosomatida; Trypanosomatidae. The record is from RNAcentral.
CACCACAACAGAAAAGAGUCCGCUGUCGACAUGAGAAGCCAUCACUGUCGCCGCGCCAUCGCUUAACUGUUCCAAGAUGUCUGACCCUGUCCGUCGCCGAUAUGUCGACAGCGGCUACCCCUCCUAUGCGAGGCCGCACGCCUUCGAUGCCUAUGAUUCUGGCCCGCGAGAGACUGAUGUGGUAGAGCAGCAGCAGCAGCCGUCUCACCAGCCGCUGCGGCGCCGCGGCGCACCUGUUCCAGCUCCACAGCUGCUUUUGUCAGCUCGAUCGACUCCCUUGGCGAAGCGGCCGACCCCGGUAAAGACCCCGUGCAAGAGUGCGCCCUCCACGACAACGUCCUCCUUAAUCGAGUCGGUUCCCUGCACUAACUCCUCCGAGAGUAGAGACACAGCGACUGCGUCACCGCCACACGAUGACCAGCUAACGCAGCCGAACAAGACACAGCGGCCACUGCGCGCAUCCGCGUCGUCGGCGAGUACCUCCGCGUCUGUGAUGUCGCCCUUACAACAGCAGGUCGCGCGUGAGAGUCGGCAAAACGAGUACCGACACAGUAGCCCUGCUCUCCAAGGUGGGCAAUCACCAGCGACGCAGAUGACGCUGCUCCCCGCGCCGGCAAGAUCGAGCGAGCGUUCCGCGAGUGCGGUCCCGCCACCGGUGUCGCGACGCGCACAUCAGCGCUCUAGUCUGAGUACAACCCCGGGGGAGCAAUGGAGAGCAGACGGGCACCCGCCACGUCUGCCGACGUCGCGUGCACCUGGGCCUUCCAUGCUCACGGCGAAGGACCAGAUGACCAUCGGCCAUAGCCACCCCGCCGCCGUCUCACUUCACUCCGUUAGCCCCAUCCGCGGCCUGGAGCGUCACAAGGGACGUGUUGACCAGGCCAGGAGCCCCGCACCACGCACAAGCAGUAGCACACCUCGCAGUAGCACCGCGGCAAGUAACGUCCCUCGUGCGCCGUUUCACAAGCGGCAACAGGCGCAAGCGCUGAGUCCGGCCGCCCACUCACCGACGACACGUGGAUCCUCCACGGUUGUGGCAGGGCCAGCCAGAGCAACGGCGGACAGGCGUGUGGUCGCCGCACCGGCACCCAACAAGGCUGACGCGCAGCUGAUGGCUCAAAAGGAGCUGCGCCGCCAGGGCGAGAUCCGAGGCCAAGGUUACGUUGCGCAGACGGCGUACACCCAGCGAAACCCCUUUCGCAGACAGGACUUUGCAGAGUUCGCGGAGAACCCGCAGUACCUCCCGCCACCUGGAUUCCGUAUCUACCCGCAGGCGAUGGCCACGCGGGUCUACGGCCUCGAGGUCAGCCGCGCAAGCCAAGGGGAUUGCAUGAUGCAGCGUCUUCUCGACGCGGCGCACCCGUCAACGGCCGAGGAGCGGGCCGAAAUGGAAGUGCUGCUGAGCGCAACACUCGAGAAACUGCAGCUUGGUGACUGGUUCUACAAGUGGACGCGCAUCAAACACGUGCACCAGCGCUACGUCUGGCUGAACCUGCAGCGCGGCACUCUCAUGUGGUCCCUUUCGUCGAAGAAGAGCGCUGUCCUCAGUUCCGAGGUGAAGCUGUCCACCAUCACGAGCGUAACGCCGGAGUGCCUGCAGCUGGAGGCGCCGGUGCGCUUCUUCUACCGCAUGAACAUCAACACACCACACCGCUGCAUCAGCCUCGCGACGGAGAUUCGAAGCAAGUUCGACGUUUGGUACCAUGUGCUGCAGCAGCUGACGGCGCCGAACUCGACGUAUGGCGUGCCCGGCGUGUGGGGACGACCGUCGAGCAGUGCGAACGCGGCUGGGUGGGGUGCAGCAAGCCGGUGGGCGUCCCGCUACAGUCCGCUGGCCGCCGUGGUGGACAAUACAACAGGCUCCACCGGCUACAACGAAGCGUACGCGCACGGUGCCGUCUCCUCCAGUGACUGAGGGCAGGGAGAGCGAUGUGUCGGCCGCUGGCAGUGGCGUGUUCACCACCCUCACUCCCGCAUGUGUGUGCGCGCGUGGGUGUGUGGGCGAGUGUCUCUGCUUUCCCCGUCCAGUGGGAGCAAAAUAUGCUGCCUUCCACUUCGUCUUCCUCUUUCGCCUAGCGUACUGUGGCUGACGUGCGUGCCCGACAAGGGCGUGCGCCCUCGCGCGUUCAGCCUCACACCCAGCGUUGCGCCCAGAUUUAGAGACAGUAAGGCAACACACUACGGAACGGUGUUGCCUUUACUGCUACAGCUGCUGCUGCUCAUGCCGGCCCUUCUCUCGUUUUUUCUUCUCCAUUCAAGCCACCCGUUCGUGCGAGCUUCACUCAGACUGCUCGGUGUUGCGGAUUUAGACACGCAUGCAUACGCCAUCCACACUGCAAAAAACGGGCAGGCUGAUUCGUGCCAUCCGGGCGCGCGUGCGCUCGUGUGGAAGUCUGUGCGUGUGGCGUGAGUGGCAGAGCGCCUGCAAUCCGCGGUCACGCGUGGAAGGGAGAGAAACAGAGGGAGG